CCUACGGGCGGCAGCAGUGGGGAAUUUUGGACAAUGGGCGCAAGCCUGAUCCAGCUAUUCCGCGUGUGGGAUGAAGGCCCUCGGGUUGUAAACCACUUUUGUAGAGAACGAAAAGACACCUUCGAAUAAAGGGUGUUGCUGACGGUACUCUAAGAAUAAGCACCGGCUAAAUACGUGCCAGCAGCCGCGGUAAUACGUAGGGUGCGAGCUAUAAUCGGAAUUACUGGGUGGAAAGGGUGCGCAGGCGGUUGAGUAAGACCGAUGUGAAAUCCCCGGGCGUAACUCGGGAAUGGCAUAUGUGACUGCUCGACUAGAGUGUGACAGAGGGAGGUGGAAUUCCACGUGUAGCAGUGAAAUGCGUAGAUAUGUGGAGGAACACCGGUGGCGAAGGCAGCCUCCUGGGACAUAACUGACGCUCAGGCACGAAAGCGUGGGGAGCAAACAGGAUUAGAUACCCCAGUAGUC
This 465-nucleotide ribosomal RNA is filed under the name uncultured bacterium. RNAcentral's name for it is "partial 16S ribosomal RNA". It matches the Rfam family "Bacterial small subunit ribosomal RNA", at positions 338 to 795 of the family's 1533-position model. The record is from RNAcentral.